Polypterus senegalus (gray bichir) is the source of this 263-nucleotide long non-coding RNA. RefSeq lists it as uncharacterized. The record is from RefSeq and is a predicted model, not a curated record. NCBI's taxonomy places the organism in Eukaryota, Metazoa, Chordata, Cladistia, Polypteriformes, Polypteridae. The transcript has 3 exons.
GCAGAAGUCUACGUGACCAUCAUCAUCAUCAAGCCCUUCCGUCCCUUUGAUGUGGAGAUUUAUUAAUGGGAUGUUCAGCUUGACACAUCUUUAUUCUCUUUUCAGUGACUACUAGCAGACAAAAGAUUAUCGCUCUUCUCUCAAGGUGUACAUUUCAAGAGGAUUUCAGGGAUCACCUAACAAAGACUUCCUUCAAGGCUUCAUCGUGCUAUGGCAGAAAGUCUAGGCUUUGUGAGGAAUAAGGAGAUUUGCCAUUUAAACAA